This 458-nucleotide ribosomal RNA is filed under the name uncultured bacterium. Its description in RNAcentral is "bacterial SSU rRNA". It matches the Rfam family "Bacterial small subunit ribosomal RNA", at positions 29 to 533 of the family's 1533-position model. The record is from RNAcentral.
AACGAACGCUGGCGGCAGGCCUAACACAUGCAAGUCGAGCGAACCCUUCGGGGUUAGCGGCGGACGGGUGAGUAACGCGUGGGAACGUGCCCUUUGCUACGGAAUAGCCCCGGGAAACUGGGAGUAAUACCGUAUGUGCCCUUCGGGGGAAAGAUUUAUCGGCAAAGGAUCGGCCCGCGUUGGAUUAGGUAGUUGGUGGGGUAAUGGCCUACCAAGCCGACGAUCCAUAGCUGGUUUGAGAGGAUGAUCAGCCACACUGGGACUGAGACACGGCCCAGACUCCUACGGGAGGCAGCAGUGGGGAAUCUUAGACAAUGGGCGCAAGCCUGAUCUAGCCAUGCCGCGUGAUCGAUGAAGGCCUUAGGGUUGUAAAGAUCUUUCAGUGGGAAGGAUAAUGACUGUACCCACAGAAGAAGCCCGGCUAACUCCGUGCCAGCAGCCGCGGUAAAGUCUAGCAU